GCUCAGCGCUGCGCUCCGCGCCGAUCGCCCGAGCUACCGCGCUCCGCUCCGCAGCACGGAGACACGGGGCGGCACGGGCGGCAGGGAAGGCGGGGAUGAGGCGGACGGCGUUAGGAUACCGAGGGAAGCUCGCCCUGCCCGGCCCGGCGGGGGUAGGAUGCUCCCCACUCUCGCUGCAGCCGGGAUUUGCAAAUGCUCAGCCCUUCCCCGGAGCGACGCUUCUCCUUGGCAAAUGGCAGGACCAGAGGCAGGUUCCAGGUUCAAAUCUUCCCUUGGAUCCACACUAAGUUGCAGGAUUUCUACCUGGUCCAUACUUUGAAGACACAAACACACAGCAUGGAAAUACCAACACAGGUAAUAGAGAGAUCAAUGCAAUGUUCACACAAGUGAUUAAUGGCAGCAAAAGUAUGUGAUACAGCUUUGGAAAUUAAAA
This is a long non-coding RNA of Chiroxiphia lanceolata (lance-tailed manakin), 433 nucleotides long. RefSeq lists it as uncharacterized. The record is from RefSeq and is a predicted model, not a curated record. The transcript is spliced from 3 exons. NCBI's taxonomy places the organism in Eukaryota, Metazoa, Chordata, Aves, Passeriformes, Pipridae.